RNAcentral lists this microRNA precursor (120 nucleotides) under Chinchilla lanigera (long-tailed chinchilla). Its description in RNAcentral is "miRNA (ENSCLAG00000021310.1)". Lineage: Eukaryota; Metazoa; Chordata; Mammalia; Rodentia; Chinchillidae. The record is from RNAcentral.
UCUGUGUAGUUCAGGCUGGCCUUGAGCUCACUUUGUAGCCCAGGCUGGUCUUGAACUCACAACAAGCCUCCUGCCUCAGCCUCCUGAGUGCUGGGAUUAUAGGCAUGCGCUACCAUGCCC